GACGAACGCUGGCGGCGUGCUUAACACAUGCAAGUCGAACGGAACGGCCCUGCUUGCUGGGUCCUCGAGUGGCGAACGGGUGAGUAACACGUGGGUGAUCUGCCCUGCACUUCGGGAUAAGCCCGGGUAACUGGGUCUAAUAUCGGACAGGAGCCAUUUCUAGUGUGAUGGUUGGAAAGUUUUUUCGGUGUAGGAUGAGCUCGCGGCCUAUCAGCUUGUUGGUGGGGUAAUGGCCUACCAAGGCGGCGACGGGUAGCCGGCCUGAGAGGGUGGACGGGCACAGUGGGACUGAGAUUCGGCCCAGACUCCGACGGGUGGCAGCAGUAGGGAAGAGUGCACAAGGGGCGCGAGCCUGAUGCAGCGACGCCGCGGGGGGGAGGACGACCUUCGGGUUGUAAACGCCAUGCGCUAGGGACGAGGCUUUUUGUGACGGUACCUAGAUAAGAAGCACCGGCUAACUACGUG
This 465-nucleotide ribosomal RNA is filed under the name uncultured bacterium. RNAcentral describes it as "partial 16S ribosomal RNA". It matches the Rfam family "Bacterial small subunit ribosomal RNA", at positions 28 to 507 of the family's 1533-position model. The record is from RNAcentral.